Molecule: ribosomal RNA, 585 nt
Filed under: uncultured bacterium
Lineage: Bacteria
Description: bacterial SSU rRNA
Rfam family: Bacterial small subunit ribosomal RNA
Source: RNAcentral
GAGUUUGAUCCUGGCUCAGAUUGAACGCUGGCGGCAGGCCUAACACAUGCAAGUCGAGCGGUAACAGAGAGAAGCUUGCUUCUUUGCUGACGAGCGGCGGACGGGUGAAUAACGCGUAGGAAUCUACCUAUUAGCGGGGGAUAAGCCAGAGAAAUUUGGUCUAAUACCGCAUACGCCCUACGGGGGAAAGGAGGGGAUCUUCGGACCUUUCGCUAUUAGAUGAGCCUGCGUAAGAUUAGCUAGUUGGUGAGGUAAUGGCUCACCAAGGCGACGAUCUUUAGCUGGUCUGAGAGGAUGAUCAGCCACACUGGGACUGAGACACGGCCCAGACUCCUACGGGAGGCAGCAGUGGGGAAUAUUGGACAAUGGGGGGAACCCUGAUCCAGCCAUGCCGCGUGUGUGAAGAAGGCCUUCGGGUUGUAAAGCACUUUCAGAUGUGAGGAAAGGUAAGUAGUUAAUACCUGCUUACUGUGACGUUAGCAUCAGAAGAAGGACCGGCUAACUCCGUGCCAGCAGCCGCGGUAAUACGGAGGGUCCGAGCGUUCAUCGGAAUUACUGGGCGUAAAGCGCGCGUAGGUGGUUUUG